Molecule: long non-coding RNA, 273 nt
Filed under: Homo sapiens (human)
Lineage: Eukaryota; Metazoa; Chordata; Mammalia; Primates; Hominidae
Description: non-protein coding lnc-INSL4-1:1
Source: RNAcentral
CAUGCCCAAGAGAAAGGCUGAAGGGGAUGUUAAAGGAGAUAAAGUCACGAUGAAGGAUGAACCACAGAGAAGAUCAUGAGGUUGUCUACUAAACCUGCUCCUCCAAAGCCAGAGCUCAAGCCUAAAAACGCCCAUGCAAAGACAGGAGAGAAGAUACCCAUAGGGAAAAAGGGAAAAGCUGAUGCUGGCAAGGAGGGGAAUAACCCUGCAGAAAAUGGAGACGCCAAAACAGACCAGGCACAGAAAGCCGAAGGUGCUGGAGAUGCCAAGUGA